GAUGAACGCUGGCGGCGUGCUUAACACAUGCAAGUCGAACGGAGAAAGGGUAGCUUGCUAUCUUUCUUAGUGGCGGACGGGUGAGUAACGCGUGGGUAACCUGCCCUUUGCAGGGGGAUAACAGUGAAGAAAUCACUGCUAAUACCGCAUACCAACUUCUUUCGCAUGAAGGAAGUUUGAAAGAUUUAUCGGCAAAGGAUGGACCCGCGUUGGAUUAGCUAGUUGGUGAGAUAACAGCCCACCAAGGCAACGAUCCAUAGCCGGCCUGAGAGGGUGAACGGCCACACUGGGACUGAGACACGGCCCAGACUCCUACGGGAGGCAGCAGUGGGGAAUAUUGCACAAUGGGCGAAAGCCUGAUGCAGCGACGCCGCGUGAAGGAUGAAGGUCUUCGGAUUGUAAACUUCUAUCAGCAGGGAAGAAAGGGCCUAUGGCCUAUGACGGUACCUGACUAAGAAGCCCCGGCUAACUACGUG
This 476-nucleotide ribosomal RNA is filed under the name uncultured bacterium. RNAcentral's name for it is "bacterial SSU rRNA". It matches the Rfam family "Bacterial small subunit ribosomal RNA", at positions 28 to 507 of the family's 1533-position model. The record is from RNAcentral.